GCAGUGGUGGUUCAGUGGUAGAGUUCUCACCUUCCAAGUGGGAGAUCUGGGUUCUAUUCUCAGCCAAUGCA
Molecule: transfer RNA, 71 nt
Organism: Loxodonta africana (African savanna elephant)
Lineage: Eukaryota; Metazoa; Chordata; Mammalia; Proboscidea; Elephantidae
Rfam family: tRNA
About the family: Transfer RNA (tRNA) molecules are approximately 80 nucleotides in length. Their secondary structure includes four short double-helical elements and three loops (D, anti-codon, and T loops). Further hydrogen bonds mediate the characteristic L-shaped molecular structure. tRNAs have two regions of fundamental functional importance: the anti-codon, which is responsible for specific mRNA codon recognition, and the 3' end, to which the tRNAs corresponding amino acid is attached (by aminoacyl-tRNA synthetases). tRNAs cope with the degeneracy of the genetic code in two manners: having more than one tRNA (with a specific anti-codon) for a particular amino acid; and 'wobble' base-pairing, i.e. permitting non-standard base-pairing at the 3rd anti-codon position.
Source: Rfam